This 301-nucleotide ribosomal RNA is filed under the name uncultured bacterium. RNAcentral describes it as "partial 16S ribosomal RNA". It matches the Rfam family "Bacterial small subunit ribosomal RNA", at positions 509 to 807 of the family's 1533-position model. The record is from RNAcentral.
CAGCAGCCACGGUAAUACGUAGGGUGCGAGCGUUAAUCGGAAUUACUGGGCGUAAAGCGCACGCAGGCGGUCUGUCAAGUCAGAUGUGAAAUCCCCGGGCUUAACCUGGGAACUGCAUUUGAAACUGGCAGGCUAGAGUCUUGUAGAGGGGGGUAGAAUUCCAGGUGUAGCGGUGAAAUGCGUAGAGAUCUGGAGGAAUACCGGUGGCGAAGGCGGCCCCCUGGACAAAGACUGACGCUCAGGUGCGAAAGCGUGGGGAGCAAACAGGAUUAGAUACCCCAGUAGUCCCUGUCUCUUAUAC